UGGAUGGAUCUUUGCAGGAGCCUGGCCUGC
RNAcentral lists this non-coding RNA (30 nucleotides) under Homo sapiens (human). The record is from RNAcentral. Lineage: Eukaryota; Metazoa; Chordata; Mammalia; Primates; Hominidae.